UACGUAGGGUGCAAGCGUUGUCCGGAAUUAUUGGGCGUAAAGAGCUCGUAGGCGGUCUGUCGCGUCUGCUGUGAAAACUCAGGGCUUAACCCCGGGCCUGCAGUGGGUACGGGCAGACUAGAGUGCGGUAGGGGAGACUGGAAUUCCUGGUGUAGCGGUGAAAUGCGCAGAUAUCAGGAGGAACACCGAUGGCGAAGGCAGGUCUCUGGGCAUUAACUGACGCUGAGGAGCGAAAGCAUGGGGAGCGAACAGG
This 253-nucleotide ribosomal RNA is filed under the name uncultured bacterium. RNAcentral's name for it is "partial 16S ribosomal RNA". It matches the Rfam family "Bacterial small subunit ribosomal RNA", at positions 524 to 776 of the family's 1533-position model. The record is from RNAcentral.